GACGAACGCUGGCGGCGUGCCUAAUACAUGCAAGUCGAGCGAACACAAGAGGAGCUUGCUCCUCUUGGUUAGCGGCGGACGGGUGAGUAACACGUGGGCAACCUGCCUGUAAGACUGGGAUAACACCGGGAAACCGGUGCUAAUACCGGAUAAUCCUUUUCCUCUCAUGAGGAAAAGUUGAAAGUCGGUUUACGCUGACACUUACAGAUGGGCCCGCGGCGCAUUAGCUAGUUGGUGAGGUAACGGCUCACCAAGGCGACGAUGCGUAGCCGCACUGCGAGGGUGAUCGUCCGCACUGGGACUGGGACACGGCCCAGACUCCUACGGGAGGCAGCAGUAGGGAAUCUUCCGCAAUGGACGAAAGUCUGACGGAGGAACGCCGCGUGAGCGAUGAAGGCCUUCGGGUCGUAAAGCUCUGUUGUUAGGGAAGAACAAGUAUCGGAGUAACUGCCGGUACCUUGACGGUACCUAACCAGAAAGCCACGGCUAACUACGUGCCAGCCGCCGCGGUAA
Molecule: ribosomal RNA, 513 nt
Filed under: uncultured bacterium
Lineage: Bacteria
Description: partial 16S ribosomal RNA
Rfam family: Bacterial small subunit ribosomal RNA
Source: RNAcentral